GUCCGUAUGAUGAUAAAUAUGGUUUGGCCUGCUCACUGAUAUAAAGUUAAAGGAGGCCGCAGUUAUUUUGACUGUGCGAAGGUAGCAUAAUAGUUUGUCUCUUAAAUGGGGGCUGGAAUGAAAGGUUGGACAAAGUAUCUUCUGUUUCUUAAAUAUAAAUAGAAUUUGACUUUUAAGUGAAAAGGCUUAAAUGUUUUAAAAAGACGAUAAGACCCUAUAAAUCUUUACAUUAAAUAUAUUUUAGGUUUUUAAUUAUUUAGUUAAUUAGAUAUAAUAUUAUAUUUUUGUUACACUGGGGCGGUGUAGAUAUAUUAAAAAACUGUCUAUGUUGUAUAAUCAGUAAUUAUUGGUUAAUAUAGUUUGAUCCUUUAAGAGAUUAGAAGGUUAAGAUACUUUAGGGAUAACAGCGUUAUUUUUUCUGAGAGUUCUUAUCGAAGAGAAAGUUUGCGACCUCGAUGUUGAAUUAAAGUUUCUUUGUGGUGAAGCAGCUAUAUAAGGGGAGUCUGUUCGCACUUUUAAUACUUUACAUGAUUUGAGUUCAGACCGGCGUGAG
RNAcentral lists this ribosomal RNA (553 nucleotides) under Nematopagurus marianicus. RNAcentral's name for it is "partial 16S ribosomal RNA". It matches the Rfam family "Bacterial large subunit ribosomal RNA", at positions 1830 to 2625 of the family's 2925-position model. Lineage: Eukaryota; Metazoa; Arthropoda; Malacostraca; Decapoda; Paguridae. The record is from RNAcentral.